AUACGUAGGUGACAAGCGUUAUCCGGAUUUACUGGGCGUAAAGGGCGUGUAGGCGGUCUUGCAAGUCAGAAGUGAAAUUCCUGAGCUCAACUCGGGCGCUGCUUCUGAAACUGCAGGACUUGAGUGCUGGAGGGGAUAGCGGAAUUCCUAGUGGAGCGGUAAAAUGCGCAGAUAUUAGGAAGAACACCGGUGGCGAAGGCGACUUCCUGGCACAAUACUGACGCUCAUGUGCGAAAGCUAGGGUAGCGAACGGGAUUAGAUACCCCGGUAGUCCUAGCCGUAAACGAUGGAUACUAGGUGUGGGUGUCGCAGGGCAUCCGUGCCGCAGCUAACGCGUUAAGUAUCCCGCCUGGGGACUACGGUCGCAAGACUGAAACUCAAAUGAAUUGACGGGG
Molecule: ribosomal RNA, 395 nt
Filed under: uncultured bacterium
Lineage: Bacteria
Description: partial 16S ribosomal RNA
Rfam family: Bacterial small subunit ribosomal RNA
Source: RNAcentral